GACGAACGCUGGCGGCGUGCUUAACACAUGCAAGUCGAACGGAAAGGCCCCUUUGGGGGUACUCGAGUGGCGAACGGGUGAGUAACACGUGAGUAACCUGCCCUUGACUUCGGGAUAACUUCAGGAAACUGGGGCGAAUACCGGCUAGGAAUCAUUGCUGCAUGGUGGGGGUUGGAAAGCUUCGGCGGGUUUGGAUGGACUCGCGGCCUAUCAGGUUGUUGGUGGGGUAGUGGCUUACCAAGGCUUUGACGGGUAGCCGGCCUGAGGGGGCGACCGGCCACAUUGGGACUGAGGUACGGCCCAGACUCCUAACGGGGGCAAGAGUGGGGAAGAUUGCACCAUGGGCGGGAGCCUGAUGCAGCAACGCCGCGGGCGGGAAGACGGCCUUCGGGUUGUAAACCGCUUUCAGCAGGGGCGAAGCUUGUGGUGACGGUACCUGGAGAAGAAGCACCGGCUAACUACGUG
This 465-nucleotide ribosomal RNA is filed under the name uncultured bacterium. RNAcentral's name for it is "partial 16S ribosomal RNA". It matches the Rfam family "Bacterial small subunit ribosomal RNA", at positions 28 to 507 of the family's 1533-position model. The record is from RNAcentral.